CUACGUGCCAGCAGCCGCGGUAAUACGGAAGGUCCGGGCGUUAUCCGGAUUUAUUGGGUUUAAAGGGAGCGUAGGCUGGAGAUUAAGUGUGUUGUGAAAUGUAGACGCUCAACGUCUGACUUGCAGCGCAUACUGGUUUCCUUGAGUACGCACAACGUUGGCGGAAUUCGUCGUGUAGCGGUGAAAUGCUUAGAUAUGACGAAGAACUCCGAUUGCGAAGGCAGCUGACGGGAGCGCAACUGACGCUUAAGCUCGAAGGUGCGGGUAUCAAACAGGAUUAGAUACCCUGGUAGUCCGCACAGUAAACGAUGGAUGCCCGCUGUUGGUACCUGGUAUCAGCGGCUAAGCGAAAGCAUUAAGCAUCCCACCUGGGGAGUACGCCGGCAACGGUGAAACUCAAAGGAAUUGACGGGGGCCCGCACAAGCGGAGGAACAUGUGGUUUAAUUCGAUGAUACGCGAGGAACCUUACCUGGGCUUGAA
RNAcentral lists this ribosomal RNA (481 nucleotides) under uncultured bacterium. RNAcentral's name for it is "bacterial SSU rRNA". It matches the Rfam family "Bacterial small subunit ribosomal RNA", at positions 501 to 985 of the family's 1533-position model. The record is from RNAcentral.